UAUAUUUAAUUUUUUAUUAAAAAAAAUUAUUUAAAUAUUUUAGUUUAUAAUUAAAUUUUGUUUUAAAAAUACUUAGAAGGGUUAAUUUUAUAUUUAUAAUACAAAUAUAUUGUACCUUUUGUAUCAGGGUUAAUCAAUUUAAUUAAUUAUUUAUUUUUCCCGAAAUAAAAAGGUCAAUUAAAUUUUAAUUUUGUUUGUUGUAAAAAAUAAUUUAAUUUUUUUUUUGUGGAGAUAUUCUAUUCAAUUUUUAUUAUAUCUGGUUUUUUACAAAAAAAUUAAAUUUUUAAGUUUUUAUUUAAAUUUAUAUUUAAUAAGGGAUAAUCUUUAUUAAUUUAUAAAAUUUUUUCUUAUAAAUUAUUUUUAAUAUUUUUUAAAUUUUAAUUUUAGUUAUUAAUAUAUUAAAAUAAUUUUGUAAAAAUUUUUUUUUAUUUAUUUUAUGAGUAAUUUUUUUUAUCUAAUUGAAUUUUAUUAUUAAUUUUGAUUAUAUUAGUAAAUUUUAAAAUUAUAAUUAAAUGAAUUAGACAAAUUUAAUUUUCAACUGUUUACCAAAAACAUUUCUUUUAGUUUUAUAUUAAAAGUAGAUUCUGCCCUAUGAAGUAUUUAAAUGGCUGCAGUAUUUUAACUGUACAAAGGUAGCAUAAUAAUUAGUUUUUUAAUUGAGGACUGGAAUGAAAGAUUUAAUGAAAAAUUAGUUUUAUUAUUUUUAAUAAUUUAAUUUUAUUUUUAAGUAAAAAAGCUUAAUAAAUUUUUUGGGACGAAAAGACCCUAUAGAACUUUAUUAAAUUUUAAAAUUUAAAUUUAAUAUUUUUUUAUUUUUAAAAUUUAAUUUUAUUGGGGUGAUAAAUAAAUUAAUCUUUAUUUUUUUUAAUCAUUAAUUUAUGUUUUUAUGAUUUAAAUAUAUUUUAUUAAAAGAUAAAGUUACCUUAGGGAUAACAGCGUAAUAUUUAUGGGGAGUUCUUAUCUAUAUAAAAGUUUGCGACCUCGAUGUUGAAUUAAGAUAAAUUAAUAAAGAAGUAUUUAUUAUAUUAAGUCUGUUCGACUUUUAAAUUCUUACAUGAUUUGAGUUCAAACCGGUGUAAGCCAGGUUGGUUUCUAUCUUAUAAAUUUUAAUUUUAUUUAGUACGAAAGGACCAAUAAAUUUAUUUUAAAUAUUUAGGUUUUAAAU
Molecule: ribosomal RNA, 1165 nt
Filed under: Eupteryx gracilirama
Lineage: Eukaryota; Metazoa; Arthropoda; Insecta; Hemiptera; Cicadellidae
Description: 16S ribosomal RNA
Source: RNAcentral